This 468-nucleotide ribosomal RNA is filed under the name uncultured bacterium. RNAcentral describes it as "partial 16S ribosomal RNA". It matches the Rfam family "Bacterial small subunit ribosomal RNA", at positions 28 to 507 of the family's 1533-position model. The record is from RNAcentral.
GACGAACGCUGGCGGCGUGCUUAACACAUGCAAGUCGAACGGAAAGGCCCUGCUUUUGUGGGGGGCUCGAGUGGCAAACGGGUGAGUAACACGUGAGUAACCUGCCCUUGACUUUGGGAUAACUUCAGGAAACUGGGGCUAAUACCGGAUAGGAGCUCCUGCUGCAUGGUGGGGGUUGGAAAGUUUCGGCGGUUGGGGAUGGACUCGCGGCUUAUCAGCUUGUUGGUGGGGUAGUGGCUUACCAAGGCUUUGACGGGUAGCCGGCCUGAGAGGGUGACCGGCCACAUUGGGACUGAGAUACGGCCCAGACUCCUACGGGAGGCAGCAGUGGGGAAUAUUGCACAAUGGGCGGAAGCCUGAUGCAGCAACGCCGCGUGCGGGAUGACGGCCUUCGGGUUGUAAACCGCUUUCGCCUGUGACGAAGCGUGAGUGACGGUAAUGGGUAAAGAAGCACCGGCUAACUACGUG